Molecule: ribosomal RNA, 596 nt
Filed under: Rhinocheilus lecontei (longnose snake)
Lineage: Eukaryota; Metazoa; Chordata; Lepidosauria; Squamata; Colubridae
Description: partial 12S ribosomal RNA
Source: RNAcentral
ACAAUAUCUACGGCGUAAAGCACGACUAACAAUAUGUUCAAAUAUUAGGAAACAAAGCAAAACUGGGCUGUAAAAAGCCAUAAGUCACACUAAUAAUACCCUAACAACAAACAAACUCCACUCGUGAAAGCUAGGACACAAACUAAGAUUAGAUACCUUACUAUGCCCAGCCAUAACAUAACAAUUAAAUUACCCAUUGUUCGCCAAAUAACUACGAGUAAAAACUUAAAAUUUAAAAGACUUGACGGUACCUCAAAACAACCUAGAGGAGCCUGUCCAAUAACCGAUACCCCACGAUUAACCCAACCCACCCUAGCCUAACAGUCUAUAUACCGCCGUCGCCAGCCUACCUUGUGAAAGAAACAAAGUGAGCCAAAUAGCCAUACACUAACACGACAGGUCGAGGUGUAACUUAUGGGUGGGUAAAAGAUGGGCUACAUUUUCUAAUACAGAAAAUACGAAUAAAUCUAUGAAAAUAGAGCUUGAAGGAGGAUUUAGCAGUACAGUGGGAACACCAUACCCAAUCGAAACUAACGCAAUGAGGUGCGUACACACCGCCCGUCAUCCCUGUGACAUCAACACAAACCAUAUAUAAA